This 362-nucleotide ribosomal RNA is filed under the name Boophis quasiboehmei. RNAcentral's name for it is "partial 16S ribosomal RNA". It matches the Rfam family "Bacterial large subunit ribosomal RNA", at positions 2076 to 2597 of the family's 2925-position model. The record is from RNAcentral. Lineage: Eukaryota; Metazoa; Chordata; Amphibia; Anura; Mantellidae.
UAAGACGAGAAGACCCCAUGGAGCUUUAAACCUGACAGCACCCGCUCAUUUUAUACCCCAUUAUUUGCCCGACCCCUGUCUGCUCAGUUUUAGGUUGGGGUGACCACGGAGUAUAAAAUAACCUCCAUGAAGAAGGGGAUAUUUCCCUUAUUAGAGAACCACACUUCCAAGAACUAAUAAAUUAAUUUUCAAUGACCCGAUACCCGAUAAUCGAUCAACGAACCAAGUUACCCUGGGGAUAACAGCGCAAUCCACCCUGAAAGCCCUUAUUAACAGGUGGGUUUACGACCUCNAUGUUGGAUCAGGGUAUCCCAGUGGUGCAGCAGCUACUGAGGGUUCGUUUGUUCAACGAUUAAAACCCU